UACAGAGGGGGCAAGCGUUGUUCGGAAUUACUGGGCGUAAAGGGCGCGUAGGCGGCUUUCUAAGUCGGACGUGAAAUCCCCGGGCUCAACCCGGGAACUGCGUUCGAUACUGGAAGGCUUGAAUCCGGGAGAGGGAUGCGGAAUUCCAGGUGUAGCGGUGAAAUGCGUAGAUAUCUGGAGGAACACCGGUGGCGAAGGCGGCAUCCUGGACCGGAAUUGACGCUGAGGCGCGAAAGCCAGGGGAGCAAACAGG
This 253-nucleotide ribosomal RNA is filed under the name uncultured bacterium. Its description in RNAcentral is "partial 16S ribosomal RNA". It matches the Rfam family "Bacterial small subunit ribosomal RNA", at positions 524 to 776 of the family's 1533-position model. The record is from RNAcentral.